CCAGGUUCUAGAUGGCUAACGUUAGCUACUAGCCAUGCUAAAUGUAAUUACAUUCCAAACCAAGUUUUGGCACUGGUGAGCUGCUAUGUACAUCCACGAAGAAGAGACCAUAUAGCUAUAUUCAUGCAAAAACCAGCAUCUGCUCUUCUCCUGUGCAUUUGGUAGUGGUAGAGCCUGGCUGCAGUAAUACCCACAAUGACAGACUUACAACUAAUUUGUGGCCUAAAAACAUGGAGCUAGCUUUGAAGUGGGACCGGUUGAAGCGAACCGAUUGGAGUAACGUUAAGGGAACCACGGGCAUGUCUACUGUAUGUGGUGGCUUUGAUGGCUAUAAUCAGUAGAAGGCAGGAUUUGGAAUGAGACUCUGACUGAAACUGUUUUCUACCGACCUAGCAGUGCAUCACGAGUGUCAUUAGUGAUGGAGAUAAACCGGUGUCUAGCACCCAGUGUCUAGGAUGAGCCUUUUGUAUUGAGUGACCUCUUGUGUAGUCUCUGUACCUCUCCAAUCUGAAGUGCCGGUCGUAUCACAUGCAUUGGGACCAACUGGCCCGUCUCAUAAAGGCACACAGGUGUCAUUACUAAUGCCACAUACAAGAAGCAUUGAUAAAAAGUUGGACCUGGGUUUAGAGGAGGAGAACGAGGAAAUCUAUGACAAUGGAGAGGACAUGGAGGAUGAGGACUACAUCCCAGCUGAGGAUAAGGGAGAUGAUGUGUUCAUUGGGGAGCCUGAGGCUUCAGCCAGUCUGGACAAGGAAAAUAAGUUCAUUGUGUUCCAUUCCCAACUGAUUAAGCUUAUCCAAGUCUGUGUUGGGUGUGGUAAGGAGAGUCCAGGGACUAUAUAAACAGCCAGAGGAACAGCGCUCAUCACACAGAUCUCCAGACUCUGGCAGUGGGGAUGGAGAAUAUUCUACAUGGGGCCUUGAUCCUGAAGGACAUCUCACAACUAUGCCCUGACUACCGGACAUCAGGGCUAGAGGAAUACCACUUUCUGAUGCUACGCUUCUUGCCGAAGCACACCGCCUUCAAGGGAAUGCAAGCAAGAUCAUACCUUUCAGCCUUGCAUUACAAUGAGAAGAGCGGACGAGUGAAGACCAAACCCACCUACGGAAUCUGAUCUGAUCCAACAUCAGUCUUCUAAUGUCACAUUGCUAUCAACACCUGCAUUCACACCAGUCUUUCCAUGCAGGAAGCAUUGUUGUUAUCAUAUUGGUAACAUGCGGUGUCAUAAUGAUUCAAAGCCUAAAUGUUUUACAAUACGUGAGAACUUGAGUAACAUUCUAAUUCAUUUUUCUUGCUCCCUCUUCCUCUACGAACCUGAAUAGCACCUCAGUUCAACAUCUGCCUUCUUACGUCGCACUGCCACCUACACACCUGCAUCACCUAUGCUGAUUUCUGUCUGCUAGAGUAGAGCUGUUCCUCUCAUUAGGGUUUUGUUACAGAGUUGUUCUCUUGUACCGUCUGUCCUUGUUUACUUCCCAUUACUUAGCUGAGAUAAUUGGAUAAGUGUAAGCAGCACUUUGGGUCGGUAGCAAGCCUCACUCCACACCUACACACCCGCCCGCAAACUAUGUUCAUCUGACAUUGGGCUCCUUGAAACUCCUCACACCAAGUGCUGCACGUCUCAAUCAUCCAUAAAGAAAUCUAUAAAAAUAUAUACAAUUAUUUAUUGUAUUUCAAAAUGUUAUUAUUGUAUAUUAACUAUCAUUAUUAAGUGGAAUGUGACAACAACAAAAAAAGACCCAUGACAAAAGUAGUGCAUCAGUAUUGGUACAACAGGGCUCCCGAGUGGUGCAGCGGACUGAGGCACUGCAUCUCAGUGCUAGAGGCAUCACUACAGUC
Salvelinus namaycush (lake trout) is the source of this 1839-nucleotide long non-coding RNA. RefSeq lists it as uncharacterized. Lineage: Eukaryota; Metazoa; Chordata; Actinopteri; Salmoniformes; Salmonidae. The record is from RefSeq and is a predicted model, not a curated record. The transcript is spliced from 7 exons.